This 1155-nucleotide long non-coding RNA is filed under the name Mus musculus (house mouse). RNAcentral's name for it is "predicted gene 14950". Lineage: Eukaryota; Metazoa; Chordata; Mammalia; Rodentia; Muridae. The record is from RNAcentral.
AUCUUGUCUUAUUGACUAUGUGUGCCUGCUAUAUCACAACUGUCUAAGAUUACUUCCAAACUUCUUCCUGCUACAAAUAUUCGGAGACAUUCCUCCAUUCAAGAAAAGUGGCCUUGCUCUUAUGUCAUCUGACUAAAGGCUUCAUAGACCAAAGAUAACCAUCCAACCUAUUGGAAUACUGAAACAAUUGCUGCCUGCUGUCCACACAUCACAUAAAAUAUGUGGAUAUUCUCAAUUCUGCAAAAAAGAAUUGGAAGCUGAUCAAGCAAUACUGGAACUUCCUCUGCUUCAGAAGACAGAGACAUCCUGGCCUCCAUGCAGAGGAAUGUGUGGAUGGACAUAUAUUUAAGGAAGACACUAAACCAGAGACUACUACAUUACACCCUCUUAGAAGACUUCUAAGAUUGUUGUCAUGCCUACCAUGGACAUUCAGAUGAUGUGUAUUCUUGAUUGUGAUUUCAAGUUUGGAGCUGAUGAAGGAACCCAGGAGAUGAGCAUAUGCCUGAGAAGAACUAGUGUGGAACUGUCAGCCAGGUUUUUGAUGAGUGCUCAGACUGCUUCCUGAUCCAGCACCACAUUUACUAUAGUGGACAGAUGCUCUAGUCUCUGAUGAGGAGUUGCUAGCUGUUAGGAAGUACCUGGAAUGGUCUCCACUGCAUGAGGUUUGAAGUCUCCAGAGCAGCAAGGAGAGUGGGGAAUAGAACUCAUCAUCUUUAGGUCACUCAUCAUCGAUGGAUUUUUCCCAACAUUAGUAUACAGACAUGGAUGGUUGAACACAAACCUGUCAGGCUGAUAAAGCACUAGACAUCAACUAUCUUUCUCAGAACCAUGUUCAGAUUGCUGCACAUCCUCCUGAAGAUGCCACGGAUGACAUGGUUCCUUGUGAUUGUUGUUCUCUUCUUGUUGUUGCUGUUUUCUUUUAACUUUUGAAGAGGAUACUUUAUUAGUCUGUUGCUAUGUUAGUCAUCUCCUGGCAUUAGAAACCAGCAUCCCACUGCUUAAAUGUUUUACAUUUCCUACUCUUUUUGGAAAACACAAUGUAUGAACAUCAUUUUUUUCCUAUUGUUUCAAAGACAUACCACUAUGUAAUUCAACUUUACAAUUGUAAUCAUUUUGACCAAUAUUCACAUGAAUAUAAAUUUUAUGUGUAAACUU